This 253-nucleotide ribosomal RNA is filed under the name uncultured bacterium. RNAcentral's name for it is "partial 16S ribosomal RNA". It matches the Rfam family "Bacterial small subunit ribosomal RNA", at positions 524 to 776 of the family's 1533-position model. The record is from RNAcentral.
UACGGAGGGUGCAAGCGUUAUCCGGAUUCACUGGGUUUAAAGGGUGCGUAGGUGGGCAGGUAAGUCAGUGGUGAAAUCUUUGGGCUUAACCCGAAAACUGCCAUUGAUACUAUUUGUCUUGAAUACUUUGGAGGUAAGCGGAAUAUGUCAUGUAGCGGUGAAAUGCUUAGAUAUGACAUAGAACACCAAUUGCGAAGGCAGCUUACUGGACAGUGAUUGACACUGAGGCACGAAAGCGUGGGGAUCAAACAGG